AAGGACACUUCCCUAUUCCAUAGUGUGGCUGGAUCAGUCAAAUAUUCUUUUCUCUUCUGCAUAAUUAUUUUGCUCUCUUCUAUCCAAAGAAAACUUGUGACAAGGUGUACCAGCCUCGCAGUCCUACUACACCCAGCCUCGGGGAAAGAGCUGCGAAGGUGGGCCCUCCAGGUCUGUCUAGAGAGGCAGAACAGAAGCAGCCAAUCAGAGCCCAGCAGAUGCAGAUAAAAAGAGCUAAAGGGGCCUAGCAGGUCAGUUCCUGGCUAGGAUUAGAAGGGCAAGGGAAGGUGCUUCUCUUUGGCCACAGGAGCUUGACUGAUUGCAUUUGCUCAAACUGGGAGAGAGAGGACACGAGAACUUUAACCUUAAGGACUUCACAGAUCUGUGACCUAAAACCUGGGCUCAGGCAAUAAAGUUGCCAGAUGGGGACAUGCAGGUAGGAGAAAGGAAGGAGACUGGAGGGGCAAUAUUGGAGU
Non-coding RNA from Chrysemys picta bellii (western painted turtle), 476 nucleotides. NCBI's taxonomy places the organism in Eukaryota, Metazoa, Chordata, Testudines, Emydidae. The record is from RefSeq and is a predicted model, not a curated record.